AUGAUUUAGUAGAUCUAGUUAGUUUACUUUCAUCUAUUAUGCAGCAGAUAGACAGGUGUACAAGGAGAUUCAUCCUCUUCGCUAUUUUCCUCCUGCUUUUUGUGAUAUUAUUGGUACCCUUAUGGCGUCACCUGGAUCCGCAAACAACAAGCAGACAACAGCAGCUACCAGUGAUAGAUCCAGUUGUUUAUGCGCAUCAAAAGAAGGCCGUCAGUCCUGGUUCCCUGUCCCAAAAAAUUUCUCCCGAUCAUCCAUCAAGCCACAGUGACCUCUGGAUAGACUUGGAUCCAGAAAAGAUGACAAUAAUUCGAAGAACUGUAUUUUUUGAUUCUAGGAAAUACUUUGGUCCUCAAAUAGUGAUAAUUUCUAUGCACCACGAUGCCAUUA
This is a long non-coding RNA of Amphimedon queenslandica, 387 nucleotides long. RefSeq lists it as uncharacterized. The record is from RefSeq and is a predicted model, not a curated record. The transcript is spliced from 2 exons. NCBI's taxonomy places the organism in Eukaryota, Metazoa, Porifera, Demospongiae, Haplosclerida, Niphatidae.